Xyrauchen texanus (razorback sucker) is the source of this 396-nucleotide long non-coding RNA. RefSeq lists it as uncharacterized. The record is from RefSeq and is a predicted model, not a curated record. Lineage: Eukaryota; Metazoa; Chordata; Actinopteri; Cypriniformes; Catostomidae. The transcript has 7 exons.
UUUCCCUUCCGCUGAUGUUUCACAUAAUAUCCACUUACUGGAGCCUCAACAGCCUGACCCUCCUGCUUCAGUUCCUAAUGAGGACAGAGAUUAUCCUCUUUUGGAAUUGUAUCACUCUGCCUCUGAAGAGCAGGAAGAGGAGCAGUUCAAUUUGGAAGACACUCCUCUAGAAUUCCAGCAGUUUCGUAAUUUCGGUGAGGAAAUCAGAUUGAGGGACAGGCCAACACUACGCCAGUUGCCCAUAUUCUGUCCAGAGUGUGAUACGAUUCUAUUUCCCUUCAGUCCCGAUGAGGAUCGACAGGAUACUCGUCCUGCUUCAUCUCAGGAGGCCUCAGCUGCAGGAAAUAGACCAGGCAUCGGUCAUUGGAGCUUUUCCAGUACUGUUUUAUUUCCCCA